CCUACGGGAGGCAGCAGUGAGGAAUUUUCCGCAAUGGGCUAACGCCUGACGGAGCAAUGCCGCGUGGAGGAGGAAGGCCUGUGGGUCGUAAACUCCUUUUCUCAGAGAAGAGGAUCUGACGGUAUCUGAGGAAUAAGCAUCGGCUAACUCUGUGCCAGCAGCCGCGGUAAUACAGGGGAUGCAAGCGUUAUCCGGAAUUAUUGGGCGUAAAGCGUCCUGAGGUGGCUUACCCAGUCGACUGUGAAAGCUCAAGGCUCAACCUUGAAACGGCAGUCGAAACUUGUAAGCUUGAGUACGGUAGAGGCAGAGGGAAUUCCCGGAGGAGAGGUGAAAUUCGUAGAUAUCGGGAGGAAGGCCAAAGGCGAAAGCACUCUGCUGGGCCGAUUACUGACACUGACAGACGAAAGCUAGGGGAGCGAAAGGGAUUAGAUACCCCUGUAGUCCUAGCCGUAAACGAUGGAUACUAAGUGUUGCGCGACUCAACUCGUGCAGUGCUGCAGCUAACGCGGUAAGUAUCCCGCCUGGGGAGUAUGCUCGCAAGAGUGAAACUUAAAUGAAAUUGACGG
This 566-nucleotide ribosomal RNA is filed under the name uncultured bacterium. RNAcentral's name for it is "bacterial SSU rRNA". It matches the Rfam family "Bacterial small subunit ribosomal RNA", at positions 338 to 916 of the family's 1533-position model. The record is from RNAcentral.